This 1372-nucleotide ribosomal RNA is filed under the name uncultured bacterium. RNAcentral's name for it is "bacterial SSU rRNA". It matches the Rfam family "Bacterial small subunit ribosomal RNA". The record is from RNAcentral.
AGAGUUUGAUUCUGGCUCAGGACGAACGCUGGCGGCGCGCCUAACACAUGCAAGUCGAACGAGCGAGAGAGAGCUUGCUUUCUCGAGCGAGUGGCGAACGGGUGAGUAACGCGUGAGGAACCUGCCUCAAAGAGGGGGACAACAGUUGGAAACGACUGCUAAUACCGCAUAAGCCCACGGCUCGGCAUCGAGCAGAGGGAAAAGGAGCAAUCCGCUUUGAGAUGGCCUCGCGUCCGAUUAGCUAGUUGGUGAGGUAACGGCCCACCAAGGCGACGAUCGGUAGCCGGACUGAGAGGUUGAACGGCCACAUUGGGACUGAGACACGGCCCAGACUCCUACGGGAGGCAGCAGUGGGGAAUAUUGCACAAUGGGGGAAACCCUGAUGCAGCGACGCCGCGUGGAGGAAGAAGGUCUUCGGAUUGUAAACUCCUGUUGUUGGGGAAGAUAAUGACGGUACCCAACAAGGAAGUGACGGCUAACUACGUGCCAGCAGCCGCGGUAAAACGUAGGUCACAAGCGUUGUCCGGAAUUACUGGGUGUAAAGGGAGCGCAGGCGGGAAGACAAGUUGGAAGUGAAAUCUAUGGGCUCAACCCAUAAACUGCUCUCAAAACUGUUUUUCUUGAGUAGUGCAGAGGUAGGCGGAAUUCCCGGUGUAGCGGUGGAAUGCGUAGAUAUCGGGAGGAACACCAGUGGCGAAGGCGGCCUACUGGGCACCAACUGACGCUGAGGCUCGAAAGUGUGGGUAGCAAACAGGAUUAGAUACCCUGGUAGUCCACACCGUAAACGAUGAUUACUAGGUGUUGGAGGAUUGACCCCUUCAGUGCCGCAGUUAAAACAAAUAAGUAUUCCACCUGGGGGGUAGGACCGCAAGGGUUGAAACUCAAAGGAAUUGACGGGGGCCCGCACAAGCAGGGGAGUAUGUGGUUUAAUUCGACGCAACGCGAAGAACCUUACCAAGUCUUGACAUCCCUUGACAGACAUAGAAAUAUGUAUUCUCUUCGGAGCAAGGAGACAGGUGGUGCAUGGUUGUCGUCAGCUCGUGUCGUGAGAUGUUGGGUUAAGUCCCGCAACGAGCGCAACCCUUAUGGUCAGUUACUACGCAAGAGGACUCUGGCCAGACUGCCGUUGACAAAACGGAGGAAGGUGGGGAUGACGUCAAAUCAUCAUGCCCUUUAUGACUUGGGCUACACACGUACUACAAUGGCGUUAAACAAAGAGAAGCAAGACCGCGAGGUGGAGCAAAACUCAGAAACAACGUCCCAGUUCGGACAGCAGGCUGCAACUCGCCUGCACGAAGUCGGAAUUGCUAGUAAUCGUGGAUCAGCAUGCCACGGUGAAUACGAACCCGGGCCUUGUACACACCGCCCGUCA